AUGGAGAGUUUGAUCCUGGCUCAGGACGAACGCUGGCGGCGUGCUUACACAUGCAAGUCGAACGAGAAGAGAUGAGAAGCU
Molecule: ribosomal RNA, 81 nt
Filed under: Megasphaera sp. BL7
Lineage: Bacteria; Bacillati; Bacillota; Negativicutes; Veillonellales; Veillonellaceae
Description: partial 16S ribosomal RNA
Source: RNAcentral